CGCGGGUGAGUAACACGUAUCCAACCUGCCGUCUACUCUUGGCCAGCCUUCUGAAAGGAAGAUUAAUCCAGGAUGGGAUCAUGAGUUCACAUGUCCGCAUGAUUAAAGGUAUUUUCCGGUAGACGAUGGGGAUGCGUUCCAUUAGAUAGUAGGCGGGGUAACGGCCCACCUAGUCAACGAUGGAUAGGGGUUCUGAGAGGAAGGUCCCCCACAUUGGAACUGAGACACGGUCCAA
Molecule: ribosomal RNA, 235 nt
Filed under: uncultured bacterium
Lineage: Bacteria
Description: partial 16S ribosomal RNA
Rfam family: Bacterial small subunit ribosomal RNA
Source: RNAcentral